This is a long non-coding RNA of Hordeum vulgare subsp. vulgare (domesticated barley), 860 nucleotides long. RefSeq lists it as uncharacterized. The record is from RefSeq and is a predicted model, not a curated record. The transcript is spliced from 2 exons. Lineage: Eukaryota; Viridiplantae; Streptophyta; Magnoliopsida; Poales; Poaceae.
CCCUCGCCUUGGUUGACCGUAGCAGCAAGAUUUCUGACACUAGCACUAUGACUGCCUUAGGUGAAAUUCACCAUGGCCGAAGCCCCUAAAUGCACCCCACCGCACCAUCCACACCCCCCUGAGACCACCUCGAAGCCUCGCCGCCGCUAGAGCUCGAGGAAGAGCCGCUGUAGAUCGAAGCUUCUGCGCCAAAAAGGCCUCCCGCCAUUGUUGAGGCCCCGCUCAGCCCCGAGCUCCGUCGCACCUCCAACUGCCAAAAAUGGAUGGGCAUCCCUCCCCGAGCAUGUGCAUAAUCGGAGCGCGACGAGAGAUGCCCUGUACCGCCGGCAAUCGUCGCCGGAGUGCUUCUCUUCUCUGCCAAGGCUCGCGCGCAGAGGUGGGAGAAGGACCCGACAGGCGGGCCCCGCCUAUUGGUGAGGAAGGCAUAGCCAGAGUGGCGCACUCCCCCUGGUGCGUUUACUGGUUAGCAAAGCGUAUUCCCAUAUGCCCGUUUCGGCAAAUGCGCAUUAUCUCUGGCAAAAGAUUGCGUUUGGAGAGGAGCACGAUGCCAUCAACCCCGGAACCUAGGAGUCAAGGAUAGCAGCCUCGUGAGAUAGGAAUUUAUCCAGGUCAUCUGUUCCUGUGAGAAUGGAGUCCCAUGAGCACUGGACAUUCCUCGAGUCGCUUUCGCCGUCAACCUUAGACUUUUGUUCAACCCAGUAGACCUUCAUGGUCUUGUAACCCAGAUUUGUAUCUUGCUUGGGUAUUCUGUAUCAAGUAAGUGUCCACUAGCUAACAACAAUCCUUGGGCUGGUAAACAUAGAGACAUGUUGUUUGGAAAUUAUUUCUGAAAAACACGUCGCUACAAAACCCCUUUCCUA